CUAACACAUGCAAGUCGAGCGGGGAUUACUUGACGAUUAUCUGAAGGUGGAUCUAGCGGCGGACGGGUGAGUAACGCGUAGGCAACCUGCCCUGUACAGGGGGACAACACCGGGAAACCGGUGCUAAUACCGCAUAACAUACAGCCAUCGCAUGGUGGUUGUAUCAAAGGGGAAAUCCAGUACAGGAUGGGCCUGCGUCCGAUUAGCUAGUUGGUAAGGUAAUGGCUUACCAAGGCGACGAUCGGUAGCCGAACUGAGAGGUUGAUCGGCCACAUUGGGACUGAGACACGGCCCAGACUCCUACGGGAGGCAGCAGUGGGGAAUAUUGCGCAAUGGGGGGAACCCUGACGCAGCAACGCCGCGUGAAGGAUGAAGGCCUUCGGGUUGUAAACUUCUUUGAUUGGGGAAGAAGAAAGUGACGGUACCCAAAAAACAAGCCACGGCUAACUACGUGCCAGCAGCCGCGGUAAUACGUAGGUGGCGAGCGUUGUCCGGAAUUACUGGGUGUAAAGGGCGUGUAGGCGGGGCGGCAAGUCAGAUGUGAAAUUUCGGGGCUCAACCCCGAAGGUGCAUCUGAAACUGCUGUUCUUGAGUGUCGGAGAGGAAAGUGGAAUUCCCAGUGUAGCGGUGAAAUGCGUAGAGAUUGGGAGGAACACCAGUGGCGAAGGCGGCUUUCUGGACGACAACUGACGCUGAGGCGCGAAAGCGUGGGGAGCGAACAGGAUUAGAUACCCUGGUAGUCCACGCCGUAAACGAUGGAUACUAGGUGUAGGGGGUAUCGACCCCUUCUGUGCCGGAGUUAACACAAUAAGUAUCCCACCUGGGGAGUACGGCCGCAAGGUUGAAACUCAAAGGAAUUGACGGGGGCCCGCACAAGCAGUGGAGUAUGUGGUUUAAUUCGAAGCAACGCGAAGAGCCUUACCAGGGCUUGACAUCCCCUGAUCCCAUUGGAGACAAGGGUUCCAUUCGGGGCAGGGAGACAGGUGGUGCAUGGUUGUCGUCAGCUCGUGUCGUGAGAUGUUGGGUUAAGUCCCGCAACGAGCGCAACACCUGUUGCCAGUUGCCAUCAUUAAGUUGGCCACUCUGGCGAGACUGCCGGUGA
RNAcentral lists this ribosomal RNA (1102 nucleotides) under uncultured organism. RNAcentral's name for it is "bacterial SSU rRNA". It matches the Rfam family "Bacterial small subunit ribosomal RNA", at positions 48 to 1158 of the family's 1533-position model. The record is from RNAcentral.